This 65-nucleotide transfer RNA is filed under the name Trichostegia minor. Its description in RNAcentral is "tRNA-His". Lineage: Eukaryota; Metazoa; Arthropoda; Insecta; Trichoptera; Phryganeidae. The record is from RNAcentral.
ACUUAAAUAGUUUAAUUAAAAAAUUUUAAUUUGUGGAAUUAAAGAUAUGAGUGUCAUUUUAAGUU